GGCUCAGUGGUAGAGCGCUUGCCUUGCAUGCAUGAGACCCUGGGUUCGAUUCCUCAG
This 57-nucleotide transfer RNA is filed under the name Dipodomys ordii (Ord's kangaroo rat). It matches the Rfam family "tRNA", at positions 9 to 63 of the family's 71-position model. From Rfam's summary of the family: Transfer RNA (tRNA) molecules are approximately 80 nucleotides in length. Their secondary structure includes four short double-helical elements and three loops (D, anti-codon, and T loops). Further hydrogen bonds mediate the characteristic L-shaped molecular structure. tRNAs have two regions of fundamental functional importance: the anti-codon, which is responsible for specific mRNA codon recognition, and the 3' end, to which the tRNAs corresponding amino acid is attached (by aminoacyl-tRNA synthetases). tRNAs cope with the degeneracy of the genetic code in two manners: having more than one tRNA (with a specific anti-codon) for a particular amino acid; and 'wobble' base-pairing, i.e. permitting non-standard base-pairing at the 3rd anti-codon position. The record is from Rfam by way of RNAcentral. Lineage: Eukaryota; Metazoa; Chordata; Mammalia; Rodentia; Heteromyidae.